AUUGAACGCUGGCGGCAGGCCUAACACAUGCAAGUCGAGCGGAUGAUGGGAGCUUGCUCUCUGAUUCAGCGGCGGACGGGUGAGUAAUGCCUAGGAAUCUGCCUGAUAGUGGGGGACAACGUUUCGAAAGGAACGCUAAUACCGCAUACGUCCUACGGGAGAAAGCAGGGGACCUUCGGGCCUUGCGCUAUCAGAUGAGCCUAGGUCGGAUUAGCUAGUUGGUGAGGUAAUGGCUCACCAAGGCGACGAUCCGUAACUGGUCUGAGAGGAUGAUCAGUCACACUGGAACUGAGACACGGUCCAGACUCCUACGGGAGGCAGCAGUGGGGAAUAUUGGACAAUGGGCGAAAGCCUGAUCCAGCCAUGCCGCGUGUGUGAAGAAGGUCUUCGGAUUGUAAAGCACUUUAAGUUGGGAGGAAGGGCAUUAACCUAAUACGUUAGUGUUUUGACGUUACCGACAGAAUAAGCACCGGCUAACUUCGUGCCG
RNAcentral lists this ribosomal RNA (487 nucleotides) under uncultured bacterium. RNAcentral describes it as "bacterial SSU rRNA". It matches the Rfam family "Bacterial small subunit ribosomal RNA", at positions 30 to 510 of the family's 1533-position model. The record is from RNAcentral.